This 559-nucleotide small RNA is filed under the name Pongo abelii (Sumatran orangutan). RNAcentral's name for it is "retained intron". The record is from RNAcentral. Lineage: Eukaryota; Metazoa; Chordata; Mammalia; Primates; Hominidae.
CUGCCCUGGGCAAAGGAUUCUCUUGGAGCUCUUUGCCUGUUACAGAGGUGGGAAGAAAGGCCGAGGAGGGAGAGGGCUGUGCAGCCAGGCUGGAGUGAGUCCGAUGGGGGAGAUUUACCACUCAUGGUGCUGUCAGAUUUGGGUCACAGACUAGUGAAGGGAGGGUGGAGAAAGCAGGAGCUGGGCUCAGAAAAGGGCUGUUUCCCGCAAAAUCUGCUUCCCCCACCUCAUGCUGUGGCAGGGGUUAGAAAGGGAGACUGCCUGGACGCCCUGCUGGGUUGCUGUGGAAGUGUGCGGGAGUCUGUUUUUUCUUUUUGUUUUCUCCAGCCCAUCCUUCCGGAAAUCACGAAUGUCCCGUGCCCAGAGCUUCCCUGACAACAGACAGGAAUACUCAGAUCGGGAAACUCAGCUUUAUGACAAAGGGGUCAAAGGUGGAACCUACCCCCGGCGCUACCACGUGUCUGUGCACCACAAGGACUACAGUGAUGGCAGAAGAACAUUUCCCCGAAUACGGCGUCAUCAAGGCAACUUGUUCACCCUGGUGCCCUCCAGCCGCUCC